GAAAGAGUUCUGCAGGUGAUUCCUAUGGGUACAGGGGGAGAAAGAGUUAUGCAGGUGAUUCCUAUGGGUACGGGGGAGAAAGAGUAACGCAGGUGAUUCCUAUGGGUACAGGGGGAGAAAGAGUUCUGCAGGUGAUUCCUACGGGUACGGGGGGGGGAAAGAGUUCUGCAGGUGAUUCCUAUGGGUACAGGGGGAGAAAGAGUUCUGCAGGUGAUUCCUAUGGGUACAGGGGGGGGAAAGAGUUCUGCAGGUGAUUCCUAUGGGUACGGGGGGGGGAGAAAGAGUUCUGCAGGUGAUUCCUAUGGGUACGGGG
This is a long non-coding RNA of Oncorhynchus tshawytscha (Chinook salmon), 313 nucleotides long. Lineage: Eukaryota; Metazoa; Chordata; Actinopteri; Salmoniformes; Salmonidae. The record is from Ensembl.